This 127-nucleotide small RNA is filed under the name Marmota monax (woodchuck). The record is from RNAcentral. Lineage: Eukaryota; Metazoa; Chordata; Mammalia; Rodentia; Sciuridae.
GCCAGGCCUGGUGGAGCCUGCCUGUAAUCCCAGCAACUUGGGAGGCUGAGGCAGGAGGAUUGCAAGUUAAAGGCUAGCUUCAGCAAUUUAGCAAGGCCCUAAGCAAGUUAGCGAGACCCUGUCUCAA